UACGUAGGGGGCAAGCGUUGUCCGGAAUCAUUGGGCGUAAAGCGCGCGUAGGCGGCCCGAUCAGUCCGCUGUAAAAGUCCAGGGCUCAACCCUGGAAAGCCGGUGGAUACUGUCGGGCUAGAGUCCGGAAGAGGCGAGUGGAAUUCCAGGUGUAGCGGUGGAAUGCGCAGAUAUCAGGAGGAACACCGAUAGCGAAGGCAGCUCGCUGGGACGGUACUGACGCUGAGGUGCGAAAGCGUGGGGAGCGAACAGG
Molecule: ribosomal RNA, 253 nt
Filed under: uncultured bacterium
Lineage: Bacteria
Description: partial 16S ribosomal RNA
Rfam family: Bacterial small subunit ribosomal RNA
Source: RNAcentral